GAUGAACGCUGGCGGCGUGCUUAACACAUGCAAGUCGAACGGAAAGGCCCAAGCUUGCUUGGGUACUCGAGUGGCGAACGGGUGAGUAACACGUGGGUGAUCUGCCCUGCACUUCGGGAUAAGCCUGGGAAACUGGGUCUAAUACCGGAUAGGACCACAUUUUGGAUGGUGUGGUGGAAAGUUUUUCGGUGUGGGAUGAGCUCGCGGCCUAUCAGCUUGUUGGUGGGGUAAUGGCCUACCAAGGCGUCGACGGGUAGCCGGCCUGAGAGGGUGUACGGCCACAUUGGGACUGGGAUACGGCCCAUACUCCUACGGGAGGCAGCAGUGGGGAAUAUUGCACAAUGGGCGCAAGCCUGAUGCAGCGACGCCGCGUGGGGGAUGACGGCCUUCGGGUUGUAAACUCCUGUCGCUAGGGACGAAGCGUUUUUGUGACGGUACCUGGAGAAGAAGCACCGGCUAACUACGUG
This 467-nucleotide ribosomal RNA is filed under the name uncultured bacterium. RNAcentral's name for it is "partial 16S ribosomal RNA". It matches the Rfam family "Bacterial small subunit ribosomal RNA", at positions 28 to 507 of the family's 1533-position model. The record is from RNAcentral.